UACAGGUGUUCUGUAACUAAUAGGAAGGAGGACCGGAAGCUCCCAGGACUAUUUUCAACUGCGACACACCUGAGCAGAGUGAAGGAGGGACCGUGUCUCCGGGAGGUCAGAGUUAGACCGCCCACAUAUCCUCAGCUGCUUGUGUGGAGGUCAGAGGUCAGAGAAUGAGAUUCUUCAUCAGUGACAUCGAUCAGGAGUUUCCAGGUGUGCUUCAGAUACUUCCAGGGAUUUUGUUUAGGUGUCACUGUGGCAUUUGAAGGAACGAGUGGGUAAUUUCCAAGGGGCUCCAGGGGAUCAAGGAGCUCUCAGUGAGGGAAUAUGAGCGAGAUUCCAGGAGUUUUCAGGAUUACUGGAGCAGAUUCCAGGGUCUUGGAGGAGGUUUCAAGGAGUGGAAUCAGAAACAACAACACAAUAAAAUAAAAUAAAGUGAAAUUAGAUUAAAUUGAUUUGGAAAAGGAAAUAAAAAUAAUUAAAAUGAUUAAAAACAAGACCUGGAAAACUGAUAGCAACAUUCAAUACAAUAAAAAUAACGUCAUUUUUUCUCUUUAGUCUGUUUGUGUUCGUUUUAUUUGUUGCAUCAGUUUAAUUAGUUUUUUCUUAGAGCAGAUUAUUACAGGCUAAUGAUUGAAAAUGAUAAAAUAAUAUUCAGAAUUAUAAUUUUUUCUGAGACGGACCCGAGGAGCCUGUUGCCGCCUGGUUUUUCUAAUCCGGACCCCGUCUUCAUCUUCAUCAUCUUCCCUCUUCUUCAUCAUCGCCAACAUGUUUGCAGCGU
This is a long non-coding RNA of Lates calcarifer (barramundi perch), 772 nucleotides long. RefSeq lists it as uncharacterized. The record is from RefSeq and is a predicted model, not a curated record. The transcript is spliced from 3 exons. NCBI's taxonomy places the organism in Eukaryota, Metazoa, Chordata, Actinopteri, Centropomidae.